AAAAAAAAAAAAAAAACAUAUACAGCCACAUUGUAUGAUUGAUUAAAUAGCACAGAUGAUCUCAAUUAGAAUUAAUUAUAAUUUAUAAAGAAAAAGAAAUGAAUAAUUGAGAAUCAUCAGCAGCAGCAGUUGAAAUUUUAGCAGGACCUUAAUGGAUGAAGCGGGGCAAAUAAUAAGAUUCAAAUCCUCCUUAAUCAAUCCUGCUCAAGUCUCCAUUUACCCCUCCCCUUUCCUUUGUGAGUGUUUUUUUUCCUCAAAGGUAUCAGAUUCGAUUAAGACUCAAAACAGGCCGAAAAUG
Molecule: unclassified non-coding RNA, 298 nt
Filed under: Hevea brasiliensis (rubber tree)
Lineage: Eukaryota; Viridiplantae; Streptophyta; Magnoliopsida; Malpighiales; Euphorbiaceae
Source: RNAcentral